CCGCCUCCACAAAAGCUCUCCCGCGCGCUGCGCCCAGGUGGCCGACCGGCGCCGGACUACGGGAGCUCGACCACCCCCACCCGCGGCCGCGAUGGAUUCUGCCGCAGCCCCAGCGUCUUUCCUCGGUUGGGAUCUCAAACGAAGGAGCGAGCGAAGGAAAAGAUGAAAGUGGCAUGGCGCACCUUGGAAACGACUGUUAUAGAGAUCUUCGCUAAGCAUGGGUGGAUAUCUACUAAUAGGCUUUGUGCUUAAGUUUGAUUUCCAUCAUGUUUACUUUUAAAAGUUUGAACUAUUUGUUGGAUUCUCAUUUACAGCUAUGGCUGGACUUUAUAGUAAUGGAUGGUUGAGUGCAUAUCUUAUGCAGAGGCUGGAAUAAAGACAUUCUUUUUUUCUAAAAAGAUCACUUCUGCCAGUGAUAGUUUGGAUUCGUGAUAGUUGAGAUGGCAACUAGGUAUUCUUUGAAUAAUCAAUCACAGUGCUAAGGUAUGCAGCAUUUAUUUGGGACUCAUGAUGGUCCACUAGUUUUUGCUGAUUCCUUGUCAAGAAGGAAUUAAUGCAGUAUUUCUGUUCAUAAAACAAACUGCCAAAAAUUAGAUGUUUUUUUAAUAUCCGGUGAAACAGUGAGUUGGUAUUCGACUUUAUGUUAUGAAACCAUGUGUGUUCAAUUUUCAUGAAUGAUCGUUGCUAAAAGUACUUAAAAACUUGUGGUAACUGUUUGUUCAUCGCUUUUGCAAGCCCAGCCAACCAAGAAAUCUGUUACUUUCCAGAUUGUUCCUUCACCACCUUGCUCUUCUGAGAAUUGAGAUGCUAUUUACCGUUGUGUCAGAAAUUUGCAAUGAUUUGAUGCAAAUGCUACCCUUCUUGCUCCCCUUGCAAUUUUGCUUCUGUUGUUAACAAUUCCUGCGUAGGAUGCAGUACUAACCUUUUGUUUGGCAGUAACUUUGAAGUUGAUUAUGAGUCAGCCAUCCAUUGUCUAUAAAACGUUAGCUGUUGAAAAGGAGCCUGACAAGGUCAAGAGGGAUAUGACUGUUUCUGGUAGCAACCUUGUCGUGCACUUCAAAGCGGUAGAGGCCCGGUUUCUGCGAGCAUCGUUCAGCGCAUCUGCAGAUCUUAUGGUGCUCAUGACAAAGCUUGUCGAAGAAUAUGGUGUGAUGAAGGAAGGGCAAUCUUGAUGAACGAUGAUGUGAAUAUGUGAUGCACAACCUUGCAUUACACUGGCAUGCACCUCGAUGGAACAAAGUUUGACUGAGGGGGUGUUUGUUUGGGCUUCUAGUUAGCUUCUAGCCUCCAAAAACUAAAAGCCUAAACAAACACCGCUACUUUUGAAUCCACACUCGCAGAAGUAAAAGCACACAGAAGCAAUCAUCGCAAUGUAUUUUGAGAAAGCAGCCUGACGAGUGCUUCUACGGGCUUCUGCGGGUUGAGAUAUGAACCUCCCCAUCAAGUUCCAGCUUAUUUACCCGCCUCUGCCAUCGCUUAUAAUGGUCAGCCGGUACGUUUUUUUUUGGCUCCCCUCAUCGAACUCGACUCGGGAGCUCUCGGCAGGAGAGGCGACAAGGGCGGCUAGGGUUUCGCCUUCUCCCUCCGACGAGCUCUUGGCCCGCCGACGAGCUCUUGGCCCCACAGCCCCACGGCGAGCCGUCCUCCCUCCGGCGGGCGCUGGCAGCCGGCCCACGUCCACCAGCUCCACGGCCAGCUCCUCGUCUCCGGCCGCCUCGGUGGCUUGUCGACCUUUGCGCUCGUGCUGCUGCGCGCCACCUGUCGCGUCCGAGCGUCCCCUCGGCCGUCCACCCUCCGGCGGGCGCCCUUCCUCCAGCGAGAUCUGUUCCUCCGACGAGUAGUCCUCCCUCCGACGAGCCCUCGGUCUUCCUCCGCCGAGACCUCCUCCGUCCGACAAGCUUCGAGGUAACAGAUCGGCCGCCCCCUAACUGAUUGGUUGGAUCAAGAUCGGCCGCCCCCUAACAGAUCGGCCGAGACCUUCCAGAACUGAUUGGUUGGAUCAAGAUUCAUCCAUUCUCUUGCAAAAGGUGCCACCUUUGAUUAAUUUUUCAGUAAUUUGUAUGGUCAUCUGUAAUGGAUGUUGUCAACCAAGAUUUCAGCCUUUGGUUCUGUUCUAGCUACGGAUAAUUGUAUGGUCAUCUGCAAUGGAUAAUUGUACUAUCUCACGCUAUAUUGUUCUCCUAAUUAGCUAAUUGUACAUAUAUCGCUCAAUUAUAUGUGCUGACAGUAUAUUGUUCUCCUAAUUAGCUAAUUGUACAUAUUUGUCAAGAAGGUAUAUUACUCAAUUUUUAUGCUGAUUCGAUAUCCUUUUCCUUUCUAUUUGUUUGCAAUAGACAUGUUACUUUAGGUGUAUGUCAAUGGCAAGUUGGCCGAUAGUGCUAUUGAUAUACAAGGAGUAGAUGGAUCUAGUCAGAUCUGACUCUGUGUCAUUGUCCCCUAUUGAUCUUAGUUUUUUAAAAGUUUUUUCACAAUCCGGUGUUCAUUUAGUCUGCUUGCUGAUCUGAGCUAGCUGGUGUGUCUUGAACUUCCUGAUUAUUCCAGGUUCUAGAUUAUGUUGCACUGACAGACAGACUCUAUGUUUUACAUGAACUAGUACACGUAUACAUUGGCAUAAUGGCAUGUUCCGAAAAU
Long non-coding RNA from Phragmites australis (common reed), 2631 nucleotides. RefSeq lists it as uncharacterized. NCBI's taxonomy places the organism in Eukaryota, Viridiplantae, Streptophyta, Magnoliopsida, Poales, Poaceae. The transcript is spliced from 5 exons. The record is from RefSeq and is a predicted model, not a curated record.